CAAGACAUGAAGUUCUCCUCUGGAGAAAAGCCUUUAUAUGUUCCUAGGCUGGAUAACAGCAAACCCAUAGAUAAUGUCCCAAGAGAUAUAAACCUGAAAGACAAGUUCAUAAAGCAUUUCACAGACUACAAAAGAUGUGCAAGAUUGCUAACACGGCUAGCGAUGAGUCCACUUUGCUCACAAUCGUAGACACUGCAUGCUCAAAAUUUUGAAAGAGGGAUAUAUGUUUUGCCCAGGAAGUGCCUUCAAUUCACAGCAGUCACAUUAAGAACAUAUUAUUGUAAUUGUUUAUAGUAUUUUUAUUUGUGUUGUUGAUUCUGUAUGUAUAUGAAAAUGCUGGCAGCCUUUAUUGGUUUUAUGAAAUAGAUUUUCUUUUUAUCUUCAUAAAACAUGUAUUUUAAGAAAACCAUAAUUUAAUAUUGAAUACACCAAUUUAUUGAAAUGAUAUGUAUAUAAUUCAUCACAAUAAUUCAGAAAUAUACAAUUAUUUUCUUAAAGUUCUCACCUAAUGAAGAUAUUUUUUUCUCAUCAUGUCUGAAUUAAUCUCACUUAAUAUUAUUUGCUUUGUCAAUAUUACAUUCUGAGACGGUCCUACCAUGGUCGUUGAGAUAUUUAUUUCACUGUCCUUGUCUCCAUUGUAUUUAAUUUGGCACUUGAAUGAUUCCAGUCAAUGAAAACAUGUUGAAUGACGACGAAUGUAAUAAUGUACUGCAGUACUUAACAAUAAAAAAUAUU
This is a long non-coding RNA of Oncorhynchus tshawytscha (Chinook salmon), 735 nucleotides long. RefSeq lists it as uncharacterized. The record is from RefSeq and is a predicted model, not a curated record. The transcript has 4 exons. Lineage: Eukaryota; Metazoa; Chordata; Actinopteri; Salmoniformes; Salmonidae.